This 404-nucleotide ribosomal RNA is filed under the name uncultured bacterium. Its description in RNAcentral is "bacterial SSU rRNA". It matches the Rfam family "Bacterial small subunit ribosomal RNA", at positions 29 to 417 of the family's 1533-position model. The record is from RNAcentral.
AACGAACGCUGGCGGCGUGCCUAACACAUGCAAGUCGUGCGAGAAAGUUCCUUCGGGAGCGAGUAAAGCGGCGCACGGGUGAGUAACACGUAGGUAACCUGCCCCCAGUCUGGAACAACUAGAGGAAACUCUAGCUAAUGCCGGAUGAGACCACGAUCCCUUCGGGGGUUGCGGCCAAAGAUGGCCUCUACUUGUAAGCUAUCGCUGAGGGAUGGGCCUGCGGGCCAUUAGCUUGUUGGUGAGGUAACGGCUCACCAAGGCUGUGAUGGCUAGCUGGUCUGAGAGGAUGACCAGCCACACUGGGACUGAGACACGGCCCAGACUCCUACGGGAGGCAGCAGUGGGGAAUAUUGCGCAAUGGGCGAAAGCCUGACGCAGCGACGCCGCGUGGGUGAUGAAGGCCU